This 8893-nucleotide long non-coding RNA is filed under the name Ananas comosus (pineapple). RNAcentral's name for it is "long non-coding RNA (ACOM_LNC017780)". The record is from RNAcentral. Lineage: Eukaryota; Viridiplantae; Streptophyta; Magnoliopsida; Poales; Bromeliaceae.
UUCAACUGAGUAGUCUAACGUUGUUCCGAUUUUGGUUUUUGUGAACGUUGACAUCGAUUUGUUCCAAAUUUACACUCUCGAGGCAUAAUAGAAAGCUAUUACUCCUUUUUCGAUAGAAUGAGAAAAAGGACUCGUUGCAAAGUUAUACUGUUGUGGCGCAACUGAGUAGUCUAAUGUUGUUCCGGUUUUGGUUGUUGUGAACGUUGACAUCGAUUCGUUCCAAAUUUACACUCUCGGGGCAUAAUAGAACAAUUUAAUUAGGUUUUACUCUUUGUUAGAUUGAACGAGAAAAAAUACUAGAUUCAAAAUUAUACUGUUAGGGCACAACUGAGUAGUCUAAUGUUGUUCUGGUUUUGGUUCUUGUGAACGUUGACGUCGAUUCGUUCCAAAUUUACACUCUCGGGGCAUAAUAGAAAGCUUUUACUUCUUGUUCAAUAGAAUGAGAAAAAGUACUCGUUGCAAAGUUAUACUAUUUUGGCGCAACUGAGUAGUAUAAUGUCGUUCCGGUUUUGGUUUUUGUGAAUGUUGACAUUGAUCGUUCCAAAUUUACACUCUCGGCGCAUAAUAGAACAAUAUAAUUAGGUUUGGGGCUUUGUUCGAUUGAAUGAGAAAACACCCAAAAAGAGAGAGAUUAUCCCAAAUUACACUCUCGGGAAUAGUAGAAAGCUAUUAUAUUCCUUGUUCGAUAGACUAAGAAAAAGUAGUCGUUGCAAAGUUAUACUGGUUGUGGAGCAACUGAGUACCUCUAUAUGUUGUUGACAGUUUGAUUCUUUUGAAUGUUGACAGUUCAUUCGUUCCAAACUUACACUUGUCCGGGGGCAUAAUAGAUAGAAUAUAAUUAGGUUUUGGGGCUUUGUUCGAUGAAUGAAAAAGUACUCGUUGCAAAGUUAUACUGGUCAGGCUCACUGAGUAGUCUAACGUUGUUUCAGCGAUUUUGGUUCUUGUGAACGAUUUCGACAUCCGAUUCGUUCCAAAUUUAUCACUCUCGGGGCAUAAUAAAAGCAUUUCCUUUGUUCGAUAGAAUGAGAAAAAGUAACUUUCGUCGUUGCAAGUUAUACGUUUGGUGCAACUGAGUAGUCCUAACGUAGUUCGCGUUUUGGUUCUUCGUGAACGUUGACACGAUUCGUCCAAAUUUACACUCUCGGGGCAUAAUAGAAAGCUAUUACUCCUUGUUGCGAUAGACAACUGAGAAAAAAGAUACUCGUUGUAAGUUAUAGCUGUUGUGGUGGCACUGAGUAGUCUAAUGUUGUUCGCAAGUUUUGCGUUCUUGUGAACGUUGAACAAUCAGAUUCCAGUUCCAAAUUUAUACUCCUGGGAGAUAGUAGAAGGCGAAUAUAGAUAGGUUGUGCGGUCUUUGUUCGACUUGAAGAAAAAAGUACUACUUGCAAAGUUAUACUGUUAGGGCUCAUUCAGUAGGCUAACCGUUGUUCCGAUUUUGGUUCUUGUAAAGUUGACAUCGAUCGUUCCAAAUUUACACUCUCGGGCAUAAAAGAAGCUAUACUUUUCUUGUUUCGAAGAAUGAGAAAAAGUCCUCGUUGCAAUAGUUUAUACUGUGUGGUGCAAACGAGAAGUCUAAUGUUGUUCCGGUUUUGGUUCUGUGUAACGUUGACAGUUGAUUCGUUCCAGAAUUUAGCACUCUCGGGGCAUAAUAGAACAAUAUAAUUAGGUUUGGGGCUUUGUUCGAUAAUGAAAAAAAGUACUGAGUUGCAAAGUAUAGCUGUUAGGCUCAACUGAGUAUCUAACGUUGUUCCGAUUUUGGUUGCUUGUGAACGUUGACAUCGAUAUCGUUCCAAAUUUACACUCUCGGGUAUAUAGAAAGCAAUUACUCCCUUGUUCGAUAGAAAUGAGAAAAAGUACUCGUUGCUAAAGGUUAUACUAUUUGUGGUGCAACUGAGUAGUUCUAAUGUUGUUUCAGUUUGGUUGCUUGUGAACGUUGACAUCGAUUGCGUUCCAAUUUAACACUCAGCUGGGUAAAUAAAUAAGAAUAAUAUAAUUAGGAUGGACGUUUGUUGAAUUGAAUGAGAAAAUUUAUGUUACAAAGUUAAUACUGUUAGGCUCAAUGAGUAGUCUAACGUUGUUCCGAUUUUGGUUCUUUGUGAACGUUGACAUCGAUUCAUUAGCAAAUUUAUCACUCAUCGGGAAUAGAGAUAAGCUAUUACUCUCCUUGUCGAUAGACUAAAAAAAGUACUCGUUGCAAAGUUUAUACUGUUGUGUGAGGGCAACUGAGUACUCUAAUGUUUGUACAGUUUUGAUUCUUUGGAAGUUGACAUUCUGUCGUCUCAAAUUUACUAGCUCUCGGCAUUAAUAAGAAGCAAUAUAAUUAGGUUUGGGGCUUUUGUUCGAUUGAUGAGAAAAAGUAUGUUUUCGUUGCAAAGUUAUACUGGUUCCAGGGCUCAAUCUGAGUAGUCUAACGUUUUUUCCCGAUUUGGUUCUUGUGGAACGUUGAAACAUCGAUUCGUUCCAUAAUUUACAACGUCCAGGGGCAUAAUAGAAGCUAUUACACCGUUGUCGAUAGAAAUGAGAAAAAGUACUCGUUGCAAAGUUAUACUUGUUGUGGUGGCAACUGAGUAGUCUAAGCGUUGUUCGCGGUUUGGUUCUUGUGAACGUUGAACAUCGAUUCGUUCCAAUUUUACACUCUCCGGGGCAUAAUAGAAACUAUUUACCCUUGUUCGAUAGACUGAGAAAAAGUACUCGGUUGUAAAAGUUAUAACUGUUGUGGUGCAACUGAGUAGUCUAUGUUUUCAGUUUUGGUUCUUGUGAGACUUGACAUCGGAUUGCGUUCCAAAGUUUAUAACUCCCUGGGAAUAAUAGAACAAUAAAUUAGGCAGGUUUUGGUCUUUGUUCGAUUGAAAUGAGAAAAAGUACUACUUNNNNNNNNNNNNNNNNNNNNNNNNNNNNNNNNNNNNNNNNNNNNNNNNNNNNNNNNNNNNNNNNNNNNNNNNNNNNNNNNNNNNNNNNNNNNNNNNNNNNNNNNNNNNNNNNNNNNNNNNNNNNNNNNNNNNNNNNNNNNNNNNNNNNNNNNNNNNNNNNNNNNNNNNNNNNNNNNNNNNNNNNNNNNNNNNNNNNNNNNNNNNNNNNNNNNNNNNNNNNNNNNNNGCAAAGUUAUACUGUUAGGGCUCAACUGAGUAGUCUAACGUUGUUCCGAUUUUGGUUCUUGUGAACGUUGACAUCGAUUCGUUCCAAAUUUACAUUCUCGGGGCAUAAUAGAAAGCAAUUACUACUUGUUCGAUAGAAUGAGAAAAAGUACUCGUUGCAAAGUUAUACUGUUAUAGUGCAACUGAGUUGUCUAAUGUUGUUCCGGUUUCUGUUCUUGUGAACGUUGACAUUGAUUCGUUCCAAAUUACACUCUCGGGGCAUAAUAGAACAAAAUAAUUAGGUUUGGGGGCAUUGCUCCAUUGAAUGAGAAAAAGUACUAGUUGCAAAGUUAUACUGUUAGGGCUCAACUGAGUAGUCUAACGUUGUUCCGAUUUUGGUUCUUGUAAACGUUGACAUCGAUUCGUUCCAAAUUUACACUCUCGGGGCAUAAUAGAAAGCUUUUACUCCUUAUUUGAUAGAAUGAGAAAAAGUACUCGUUGCGAAGUUAUACUGUUGUGGCGCAACUGAGUAGUCUAAUGUAGUUCCGGUUUUGGUUAUUGUGAUCGUUGACAUCGAUUCGUUCCAAAUUUGCACUCUCGGGACAUAAUAGAACUAUUUAAUUAGGUUUUACUCUUUGUUACAUUGAAUGAGAAAAAAUAUUAGUUGCAAAAUCAUACUGUUAGGGCACAACCGAGUAGUCUAAUGUUGUUCUGGAUUUUGUUCUUGUGAACGUUUACGUCGAUUCGUUCCAAAUUUACACUCUCGGGGCAUAAUAGAAAGCUUUUACUACUUUUUCGAUAGAAUGAGAAAAAGUACUCGUUGCAAAGUUAUACUGUUAUGGUGCAACUGAGUAGUCUAAUGUUGUUCCGGUUUCUGUUCUUGUGAACGUUGACAUUGAUUCGUUCCAAAUUUACACUCUCGGUGCAUAAUAGAACAAAAUAAUUAGGUUUGGGGACUUUGCUCCAUUGAAUGAGAAAAAGUACUAGUUGCAAAGUUAUACUGUUAGGGCUCAACUGAGUAGUCUAACGUUGUUCCGAUUUUGGUUCUUGUGAACGUUGACAUCGAUUCGUUCCAAAUUUACAUUCUCGGGGCAUAAUAGAAAGCAAUUACUCCUUGUUCGAUAGAAUGAGAAAAAGUACUCGUUGCAAAGUUAUACUGUUGUGGUGCAACUGAUUUGUCUAAUGUUGUUCCGGUUUUGGUUCUUGUGAACGUUGACAUUGAUUCGUUCCAAAUUUACACUCUCCGGGCAAAAUAGAAUAAUAUAAUUAGGUUUGGGGCUUUGUUCGAUUGAAUGCGAAGAAGUACUCGUUGCAAUGUUAUACUGUUUUGGCGCAACUGAGUAGUCUAAUGUUAUUCCGGUUUUGGUUCUUUUGAACGUUGACAUUGAUUCUGUAACAUACCAGAUUUUGGUAUAAAAAUAAAAAUAAAUAAAAAUAGUGUGAGAAACUAUUUUUAUUGGAUUUGUAGAAGUAAAACAUAAGUCAGAAGUGACUUGUCACGCCCCGCGACCAACUGCCUAUUUGGACCGGGUCGCGGCGCCGACGACAGACCGCCGAACGGACCGGGAAUUCCCCUGUACGCGGACAGAGUCUCCCCAGUACGUCCAAGGCGUCGCAAUCCAAACAAUCAACGAAUGUUCCAACAAGGAACGGAUAUCAAUCCAGAUUGCAUAAGGAAGUAUCAAAUACAUAAUCUACUUGCUAUUACAAGCAUUCAGCUAAGUACAUCUCAAAUCAGUUUACAUUAUACUUCCGAUUUCGAUCAUAAUAAAUAUUACAUAAUUUAUUUUACAAGUUUAGUACAUUUUGAUUCUAGCCUUCCAGAACCCUAAGCUAGACUGCCUCAGGGCACUGCUACCUCAGUCUCUGUGGUGGGGCGCUAUCUACUGAGCUACGCCCUCGCCUCGCGCCGCCGCGCCGCACACGAACGACCUGAAAAUCCCAAAACAACGUGGGGUGAGAACCAAUUCCAUGGUUUCCAGUGGGUACGGCCACCCAAGGGAAAAGCUCGACCGAUAGGUCUAAGUUGGCCCUGCAACAUGUCAGUUCAACAAUAUACAAUGCGAAUAUAUUCAAUUGAAAUACAUGUCAGGCCUAACAAUAUGCGAUAUGAAAUUCAUGCAACAACUAGUAGAUCACUUGGAUUCUACUUUUACUUGACUACUUUAGCUUACAUCUUUACUCUAAGGUCUCUAUUACCUUAGGAUCACAACACAAACCACUAGCUUCUAAGGUUUCUAUUACCUUAGCUCAAGCCCCUAUCUCUAGCUCAUAAGGGUUCCUCUACCCUAUCAUAGCUAACCACCCGACUCGGCUUCGAGUCAAUCAUCCGCGGAUAGCCCGCGCGCUGGCUGCUCAACAGCCUACCGCUCUCAGCCCCCUAGCGGCGAAGUCGUCGCACACGCUAAGCUCGGCUCGAGUCGCACGACCUGUCCAUCUGGUGGCGAUCGCGUUGCUCUUACCCAGCGUGGGCUCGAGACAUGACAUACCGUCUGGCGGCGAACGGAUCGCUCCACACCCAACAACGGUCAUGUCAGACUCGGCCACCUGGAGGCACCCGCAUCGUACUUACCCAGCAUAGUAUCAGUCUGCUCUGGCGGCCUGAUCCUCAAUGGCUUAGCCAUCCUGGCGGCGAAAUCGUCGCACAAACGCCACGGCAAUGGCUCAAGCCCCGGGCGGUGAUCUCCACGUGGUCACGCCCAAUCUACCCACAGUACCAAGCUCGGCGGCGAAGUCGUCGCACACACGCCCUAGCUUGUACUAGGGACAUCAAAAGUCCUGGGAUUCCGGAAUCCACUCUCCACAGGUCGAGGGUUCAUAACCAACCCUAUAUCAUCGACCUAACUCAUCCUAGUGGCUAUACCACUAUACUCAUCAACCUAGGUUCCAACACUCUAGGUUUUAUGUCCAUGUCACUUAACCUAGGUACACUUGCUAGGUUCUUAUCCUCUUUGCCUAGAUGUCCAUUUCUAAGUUUACUAGUUCGACCUAGGUUUACCAACGCUAGGUUCGAUGCCACACACCUAGAUUGUUCGACUCUAGGUUUACUACUCAAUCUAUGUUCUUUAACACUAGGUUAGAUGCCACUCGAUCUACCUGACAACCUAGUUGUCCAAUCAACUCUACUCACACUAGAGUUAUCGUUAUUAUCUACUUAGCUUUCAAGAUGCUACUUUGCAUUCUUUAUCUUAACUAGCAUUAUACACAUGCUACAUUCAUUAUGCCUUCUACUUAGCAUUUCAUCCUUGCAUCUUAUCUAAUAUGCAUUCCUUAUUUUACUCAUGUCUACAUGCACAUGCAUCAACAGGUGAUUACAUUGCUAAGACAUAAAGGGCGACCUAGUCGCUUCGGUAAGCACAACCCACCUUAGAUAGCUUUUUCCGAUUGCACGUCGACACUUGCAAUCGGCCUCCCGCGGCACUCGGCACACGACACCCGCUUGGGCCCGAUCUCACUGUGGCUCCCCAAGAGCGCGCCGCUUCGCUGUUUCGAGUGUCGGCAACCUUCGCCUUGCUGCUACGGUGCUCGGGACCCACUCUCACAAUUUGUGGACGUCGCCUCGGCCUCCCGGGAGAAAACGAAGCUCCGAGCGCCCGCUUCUCCAAUAUCCUCGCAACGGCUUGUCGGAUUGACGAACCGACUUCGCCAACGUGUUUCGUUACCUACCAAUUAGGUUUACAAGGGGUCAAAUGAGAUCAAUCCCAUCUAUUUACAAAAACCCCACUUUGAUGCCCUAGAUGCCAUUAUUGCCAAAUCCACCAAAUCGAUCUAUGAUUUGGGGUGAAAUCAUCUAAAUAGCAUACUAGGGUACCACUAAAUCCAUUUCUAGGGUUUUAGAACCCAUCUACAAGGAACUAUUACAAGAAGCCAUGAAACUCACCUCUCCAAGAGCUCCAAGGAGAAGAAGAAGACGAAGAGGAUGACGAUGACGACGAUCUCCUGCAUCUCCUCCAUCUUCUCCUUCUUUUUCUCCUCUCUUUUCCUUUCUUUCCUUUCUUUCCUUUCUUUCUUCCCCUUCUUUGCUUCGCACGAUCAGAGAGAGGGAGAGAGAAAGAGGCUGAGGGAGUGUGAGAGAGAGAGAGAAAUAUCCCUCUCUAAUACCCUCUCACAUAUUGUAACAAUAUCCCCAAAGGCCCCUCAACUUUUCGUCUCUUACACAGCCCUCUCUGGGCAUCCCGCGCGCGGAGGGACCGGUCUCCCCGACCUGGGACCGGUCCUCGGGGCCUUCCCCCGCGGACACGCGUUCGGGAACCGGUCCCUCCCUGAGAGACCGGUCCUCGGGAGACCGGUUCCUCUCAGAGAGACCGGUUCCCGAGAGCUAUACCUUCGGGACUUAGCCGAUUUUCGGCCCUUCUCACCGAUGUCGCAGGCUGGGACCGGUCCCUCCUCUGCCAGGGACCGAUUGCAUCAGCAACCCCAUAGCCUUCGGCUGAUGNCUAAUGAUAAAGAAUUGCAUAUUCUAAAGAAAGGCUAAUGGUAAAGAAUGACUAAGAGUUGCAUAAUUUGCAUAUUUGUGAGGCAUGAACAUGUAUUGCAUGAUGUUAUAUGUAUAUAUCUGUUGGACUAACAUGUUGCAGUGCCUCCUUUGGACCUGGUGGGUUGAGCACUUCUCUUGGGUGGCUGUACCCACUGAGGACUAUGGACAAUAGUCUCACCCCCGUGUUGUUGUUUUUGGGGGUACAGGUUCACACGCGAGCGGCUUGGCGGCGCGAGGAAAGGGCGUAGCUCCGUAGUUAGCACCCUACCACAGAGACCAGAUAGCAGCACCCUGAGUCGGCUUCUUAGGGGUAAAGAAAAGAAAAGAAAAGAAAAGAAUCGAUGUUGUAAUAUUAUGUUUAGAAAUCGAUUGUAUAUUUGGAAAUUGAGGAUCAAUGUAAUGAAAAAUGCGCUGUAAAAUGAUGAGAUGAAUGAUUGUAAUAACAUAAGAUGUGUUAUGUUGUUUGAUACCUUCCUUAUGCAAUCGUUGUUGAAAAUUGUUCCUGUUUGGAACCUCUUGUACUUGUAUUGAUUGCGAGGCCUUGAACGUACAGGAGAGACUCUGUCCGCGUGCAGGGGAACCCCUGUCCGUUCGGCGGUCUGUUGGCGUGCCCGAAUCCGACCAAAGAGGCGGGCUCGGGGCGUGACAAAAAGUACUCGUUGCAAAGUUAUACUGUUAUGGCGCAACUGUGUAGUCUAAUUUAGUUCCGGUUUUGGUUCUUGUGAACUUUGACAUCGAUUCGUUCCAAAUUUACACUCUCGGUGCAUAAUAGAACAACAUAAUUAGGUUUUAUUCUUUGUUCGAUUGAAUUAGAAAAAAUACCAGUUGCAAUGUUUUAUUGUUAUGGCUCAACUGAGUUGUCUAACGUUGUUCCGGUUUUGGUUCCUGUGAACGUUGACAUCGAUUCGUUCCAAAUUUACACUCUCUGGGCAUAAUAGAAAGCUUUCACUUCUUCUUCGAUAGAUUGAGAAAAAGUAGUCAUUGCAAAGUUAUACUGUUAUGGCGCAACAGAGUAGUCUAAUGUUGUUCCGGUUUUGGUUCUUGUGAACGUUGACAUCGAUUAGUUCCAAAUUUACACUCUUGGGGCAUAAUAGAACAAUAUUAUUAGGUUUUACGCUUUUUUCGAUUGAACGAGAAAAAGUACUCGUUGUAAAGUUAUACUGUUAUGGCGCAACUGAGUAGUCUAAUGUAGUUCCGAUUUUGGUUCUUGCGAAAGUUGACAUUGAUUCGUUCCAAAUUUACACUCUCGGGGCAUAAGAGAAAGCUUUUACUUCCUUUUCGAUAGAAUACGAAAAAGUACUCGUUGCAAAGUUAUACUGUUAUGGCGCAACUGAGUAGUCUA